CGUUCAGACUCACACACUUUAUAACACACUGCUGUUUACCACGGUACACAACCAGCAAACACAAUGAAUCUCUUCAGCAGCUUCAUCUGGAUUGUGACAGCUUUUCUUCCAGCAGCAUCCAGAGGAAACACUGUGACUCAGCCUGAAGUUCUGACUGUUUCUGAAGGACGAGACGUCACUAUAGAGUGUAAAACUGAUCCUGGAAUAUAUGGCGAUGCUUUAGCUUGGUAUCAGCAGAAAUCUGGAGAAACUCCUAAACUCAUCAUUAAAAAAAUAAAUGAACUCUAUGAUAAGAGUUUCAGACGAUUCAGUGGGAAUGGAGUACGAGAUGGGACUGAUUUCACUCUGACCAUCAGAGGAGUCCAGACUGAAGAUGCCGGACAUUAUUACUGUAUGGGUUUUAACUGCAGACAAAAUUCUGUUGGUGAUUGUGUGGGUGGUGAUGUGUUCACACAGUGAUUGUGAUUCGUACAAAAACCUGUG
This is a non-coding RNA of Carassius auratus (goldfish), 483 nucleotides long. Lineage: Eukaryota; Metazoa; Chordata; Actinopteri; Cypriniformes; Cyprinidae. The record is from the annotation of a RefSeq genome assembly.